UAUUUUUAUUUAAUAUAUAGAUUGGAGACUACGAGCUAUGGCUUAAAAACUAAAGUAAUAUGGCGGUAUUUUAUUUAAUCAGGGUGGCAUGUAAUUUAAUUUGAUAGUCCACGAUUUUAAACCCUAAUUUUGAAUUACAGUAUGUGUACUGCCGUAAGAUGUGAUUUUAUUGAAUUAUGUAAUAUAUAUAUAUAUAUAUAUAUAUAUAUAUUUAUUCAGGUCUAAGUGCAAUUUAUAUUUAGGUAAUAUAUGUGCUACAUUUAUAUAAAUAUUCAGUUAUAAUAUUAAAUGUUAUAUAAGAAGAACUUGAUAGUAAUUAAAUUAAUUAAGUUUAAUGAAUNUAAAUUAAAAUAUGU
This 356-nucleotide ribosomal RNA is filed under the name Haemopis kingi. Its description in RNAcentral is "partial 12S ribosomal RNA". The record is from RNAcentral. Lineage: Eukaryota; Metazoa; Annelida; Clitellata; Hirudinida; Haemopidae.